Molecule: long non-coding RNA, 2334 nt
Filed under: Varroa destructor (honeybee mite)
Lineage: Eukaryota; Metazoa; Arthropoda; Arachnida; Mesostigmata; Varroidae
Description: uncharacterized LOC111243532
Source: RNAcentral
UGCUACCACCGUUAGCUGGCGAGUGGUAAACCGGGAAGAGGGAGUAGUGUAGCGCUGUAACUAUCAUAAUUUGCUUGUGUUAAUCAAAUAGCCUGCUCAAGUAGGUCCGCUAGUCGAUGUUUCACGAUACAAACACCUCUUUCCAUGGUGCGAUUGAAUCGUUUUACAUAGCCAACGGUGCUGCCAAUCGGUGUUUUUAUAGUUGUUGUUACUGCGGUGGCUGGUAUUGUUAACGUCAAUGGCGAUGCCAUUUUAACGGCUCAAUUGAUCUGCUUGCGUUCAUCGGACCUAGCUUGAUAACGCGCAGGAGGGGCAACCGCUGCCGUUCCUCACCAAUAUCUACGAUCCGAAGGGCAACAACGACAACAAAAUCCUCAUAUUUUCACCGAUUUUUUUUCCAUUUCUUUCUACUUGAUGAUUUUUCGUUUACUUCUCAUCAUUGAGUAGCAGUUGUAUUGUAGUGCAGAUAGCUGAUACUUGCUAAUGAUUUCGUCGACGCUUGCUAUGUAUGGGCCUUCUCAGCGGCGACAGUUCUACAAUGGCACCCUGAUGCGAUGCAUCACAGCUUCGUCUUGUAUACGCCUGCCACAGACAUCAGCGCGUCAUGCCUAGAUGAAUUUCGAAUACUUGUCGUGUUUUUGUAGUAGUUUUGUUGUUGUCAAAAUCGUGGCAAAUUGAACAAGAAAAGAUAGCGAAAGACCAGGAAGACGUGUUGUAUGGUUCGCGAUUGGCGAACGCCGAUCUGCGUUCGUCGCCUAGUCAUAUGACGCUCCAGUUUCUCCUGUCAACUUUGAUGUGGCUUUAAGACUGUCUCGUCGGGAAAGGCCAUUGCUCUCUUCAUAAAUGUUUAGUUAUCGUCCUAAAGAUCUGCCUGUAUAGCAAUCAAGCCAUCUCACCUCGUCAGUGAGGUGGCAUUUCCUCGAAGAAUAUCAGAAGUUGCCGUUCCCUCAACCGGGCUACGAAGAUGAGUUUCAAUGGCUACGCUGAACAUGGCGGUGACAAUAUUUGAUAGGCACACAUCAGCCCUUCAACGACACACCGAGCGUCGACCAGUGAGCUCCAUAAAUACUCAUUACAUGUGUACCGUACGCGUGCACCAACAAAGAUAUGUGGUCGUGCACGAGCUGGCUAGCCAUCAAGUCCGCAUUGCAGCAAGCCCGUCAUUAAUUCACAGCCGAAUCCAAAUGACUUGAUCAUGACUGUUUUUCCAUAGAAAUCGACCAACUACGCAGACGUUUAAACACUCAUCGCAACUGACUCAGCUAAUUUUGCACGCCACGCCAAGGUUUAUAUACCGCAGGCUGCAGUACCUAUUUCUUUGUUCACGCGGUAACAGUGAUCGUGUAUAUUUCUAGUAGCAGGAUAUAUUUAAUCGAUCCAAUUAUCAUGGUGGCAGCGACUGCAUCACUAUGCGACAAUAACAUGACGCGGCCUGUUUCGAUCUGCUGACAUCUGGCCGUGCUGAAUUGUUCGUGUAUUCUACAAGGUCGAAUAUGUACGCACGCACGUGGAAUACUCUGCCUUCAGAGUCAAUGCCAGACGCACGGUUCGCAGGUCAGACACACACAGAAAAACAAACAAACAAAAUGAUGUAUAACUAUGCCUAUCGAUAAUUUUAGAUAUUGAACGUUAACCGCUGCAGUGUGAUACAAUACCAAUUCUAAUAUCGUACGUUAAUGAGAAGGGAAAAUACACCGAUUUCAAUAUCUGAUCGAUUUAACUGCUUCAUUUAGUGAACCGAACCGUAGCAGUAUGCAAUUCCAAUCACCGAACAAAAAUGUGUACGGUAUAAAAAAAAAACAAAGAAAAACGCUCUAACUUUUGUGUUUAUUUAAAGGUCUACUAGUAAACCCUCAAGAUAGAUCGGUUCGAAAAGGAUAAGCCAUCAUCAUAUUGAUUAUUUUACCGGCGGUUCUUAAGACGAUAAUCUGUUCGCAGCGAUUGCCUAGAAAGGUCGUCUUGCUCAGUGCAUAAAAAUAUUAUAUAAAAAAGGUCAUGUUUUCCAUUCCAAACGCUUUUUCUCCUUGUGAUAAUAAAUAAAUACUAUAGUAUAAUAUAGCUAGCCGCCAUUAUCAUGUAUUUUCUGUUUUCAAUGUUUGUCUCGCAUCUUCUCAAUAUUUCGGUGAUAUUUUGUCAUUUCUGCCCAACAACAUCUAUGUCAUCAUCGCUGUACUAUCGCAUGUGUACACGAGUAUUACUCAUGCCCUGCGGUCAAAAAAUUGCCGAUCUUUACCAUAGACGACGAACGUUUGAGUCGCUGGCGUCAGCAACAAAACGUCAGAGCUGGUUUUGGCUGUCGCACCUAACAAGAUACAGUUUUAUUAUACCAGGCGG